AAUUUGGCCUGCCCCCUGAUUUAAAGUUUAAAGGGCCGCAGUAUUAAUAACUGUGCAAAGGUAGCAUAAUCAUUAGGUUUUUAAUUGGAAUCUUGUAUGAAUGGUUAGACAAAAGAGUGACUCUCUUUAUAUUAAUAUUGAAUUUAACUUUUAAGUGAGAAGGCUUAAAUUAACUAAGGGGACGAUAAGACCCUGUAAAACUUUUACAUUGUAAUUAUAUUUUAGAAAAAUUUGUAAGAUAAAGAUUUAAUUUGGUUAUUUGUUAUGUUGGGGAGACAUAAGUAAAAUAUUAUUUUAACUGCUUAAUAAAUGAAUACAAUUAUUAGUGAUAAAAUUAUAGAAGAUCCUUUUAUAAAGAUUAGUAGAUUAAGUUACUUUAGGGAUAACAGCGUAAUUUCUUUUAAGAGUUCUUAUCGAAAAAGAAGAUUGCGACCUCGAUGUUGAAUUAAAAAAUCUAUAUAAUGAAGAGGUUAUAUAAGAGGGUCUGUUCGACCUUUAAAUUUUU
RNAcentral lists this ribosomal RNA (505 nucleotides) under Geothelphusa iheya. RNAcentral describes it as "partial 16S rRNA". It matches the Rfam family "Bacterial large subunit ribosomal RNA", at positions 1851 to 2597 of the family's 2925-position model. The record is from RNAcentral. Lineage: Eukaryota; Metazoa; Arthropoda; Malacostraca; Decapoda; Potamidae.